Molecule: long non-coding RNA, 441 nt
Organism: Rosa rugosa (rugosa rose)
Lineage: Eukaryota; Viridiplantae; Streptophyta; Magnoliopsida; Rosales; Rosaceae
Exons: 3
Source: RefSeq, a predicted model, not a curated record
CUUAUUCGAUGGUUUUUAUUGUGAGAGCGGCGUUUUAGAAUAGAGGAGACUGGAGUAGACGAAGACGAUAGAAGAUAUUGCUCUGUUGGUAUCGAGAGAAGGGCUUGGUCUGAGUUCCGUUUGGGUCGAUAGUGGGUUGUUAUUGUGGUGGAUUUUGAAAGGUUUACCAUCGAAGGGGUGUUGUUUGUCCUCGACCUUGGGAUUUCAGUGAUUGAUUGGAAGAGGUUCAAGGUUGUAUGCAAAAGGGUGCCUGGAUUGUUCUUCUGCCACUAUUCCUGAUUCUGUUAUUUGGUGUUAGUUUGGUGUACGUAUGUGAAGAACUCUUGAAGCUCCCGUCAUAGUCACGUACAAUAAUUGGAGAUAAUUACAAAUCGGCAUCAUCUGAAGCACCGAGGCAUCUCAGAGAAUUCCAACCCUCCUUCAUUGCAGAGAAUCCAUUGA